RNAcentral lists this microRNA (24 nucleotides) under Cordylochernes scorpioides. Lineage: Eukaryota; Metazoa; Arthropoda; Arachnida; Pseudoscorpiones; Chernetidae. The record is from RNAcentral.
GGUCGGGACCUGUGUCAGUAUUGU